AGGUCAGUAGCUCAACUGGUAGAGCAUCGGUCUCCAAAACCGACGGUUGCGGGUUCAAGUCCUGCCUGGCCUGCCA
RNAcentral lists this transfer RNA (76 nucleotides) under Gemmatimonadota bacterium. Its description in RNAcentral is "Gemmatimonadetes bacterium tRNA-Trp". It matches the Rfam family "tRNA". From Rfam's summary of the family: Transfer RNA (tRNA) molecules are approximately 80 nucleotides in length. Lineage: Bacteria; Pseudomonadati; Gemmatimonadota. The record is from RNAcentral. RNAcentral also lists the same sequence under 1 other name.